This 55-nucleotide ribosomal RNA is filed under the name Saponaria intermedia. RNAcentral's name for it is "partial 28S ribosomal RNA". Lineage: Eukaryota; Viridiplantae; Streptophyta; Magnoliopsida; Caryophyllales; Caryophyllaceae. The record is from RNAcentral.
CCCAGGUCAGGCGGGGCUACCCGCUGAAUUUAAGCAUAUCAUAAGCCCGGAAGGA